CUAAGACAUGCGAGUCGAGCGUCUCUAGCUAUGUUGAGACGCGGCAGACGGCUCAGUACACGUGGCUAACCUACCCUCAGACAGUACAACCCGGGAAACUGGGGCUAAUACUCGAUAGGCGAAGGCGCCUGGAAUGGUUCUUCACCCAAAGGGCUUUAGAAACAUGCUUCUAGAGUCGCCUGGGGAUGGGGCCGCGUCCGAUCAGGUUGUUGGUGAGGUAACGGCUCACCAAGCCUAUAACCGGUACGGGCCGUGAGAGCGGUAGCCCGGAGAUGGGUACUGAGACAAGGACCCAGGCCCUACGGGGCGCAGCAGUCGCGAAAACUCCGCAAUGCACGAAAGUGUGACGGGGCUACCCCGAGUGCCGUCCGCUGAGGAUGGGCUUUCCUUGGUGUUACUAGCCGGGGGAAAUAGGAGAGGGCAANACUGGUGUCAGCCGGCCGCGGGUA
Molecule: ribosomal RNA, 449 nt
Filed under: uncultured archaeon
Lineage: Archaea
Description: bacterial SSU rRNA
Rfam family: Archaeal small subunit ribosomal RNA
Source: RNAcentral